GACGAACGCUGGCGGCGUGCUUAACACAUGCAAGUCGAACGGAAAGGCCCUGCUUUUGUGGGGUGCUCGAGUGGCGAACGGGUGAGUAACACGUGAGUAACCUGCCCUUGACUUUGGGAUAACUUCAGGAAACUGGGGCUAAUACCGGAUAGGAGCUCCUGCUGCAUGGUGGGGGUUGGAAAGUUUCGGCGGUUGGGGAUGGACUCGCGGCUUAUCAGCUUGUUGGUGGGGUAGUGGCUUACCAAGGCUUUGACGGGUAGCCGGCCUGAGAGGGUGACCGGCCACAUUGGGACUGAGAUACAGCCCAGACUCCUACGGGAGGCAGCAGUGGGGAAUAUUGCACAAUGGGCGGAAGCCUGAUGCAGCAACGCCGCGUGCGGGAUGACGGCCUUCGGGUUGUAAACCGCUUUCGCCUGUGACGAAGCGUGAGUGACGGUAAUGGGUAAAGAAGCACCGGCUAAUUACGUG
Molecule: ribosomal RNA, 468 nt
Filed under: uncultured bacterium
Lineage: Bacteria
Description: partial 16S ribosomal RNA
Rfam family: Bacterial small subunit ribosomal RNA
Source: RNAcentral